GGGGCCGACCGGUUUUGACAGGCUGUGUGAAGCCGGAUGCAGCAUGCAGGCUCAUGGGGUGAGAGCCUUAACAGAUAGCCCUACACCAUACGUGGCGAGAAUACUUACGCCAUGGCUGCUUAAUCUGACGGUACGUUAGGUUAGCUUAUGGCGCGUAAGACGCGCCAGGCCAUCAUCGCUCAGCGCCUUUGUUUUGCGGGCGCUGGUAUAGCGGUGUCGUUCAGCAAAACCGCUCCGUGCGAUGUCGCUAAGCACGGCUAAGACAAGCGGCUACGGAGUAGCUCAGGUGGUUGCCUGCCUUGCCACUCCCGACAAGUAAAGGCAACUAAGCAUGUAGAACGUUCGGGGUCAUCUUCGCUGGACCAGGGUUCGAUUCCCUGCGGCUCCACUU
This 391-nucleotide transfer-messenger RNA is filed under the name Cyclobacteriaceae. RNAcentral's name for it is "UBA2336 sp015180985 Standard tmRNA". It matches the Rfam family "transfer-messenger RNA". From Rfam's summary of the family: Bacterial tmRNA, also known as 10Sa RNA or SsrA, is named for its dual tRNA and mRNA-like properties. Its role is to liberate the mRNA from a stalled ribosome. To accomplish this part of the tmRNA is used as a reading frame that ends in a translation stop signal. RNAcentral also lists the same sequence under 1 other name. The record is from RNAcentral. Lineage: Bacteria; Pseudomonadati; Bacteroidota; Cytophagia; Cytophagales.